UUUAUGGAGAGUUUGAUCCUGGCUCAGGAUGAACGCUGGCGGCGUGCCUAAUACAUGCAAGUCGAGCGAACGGACGAGAAGCUUGCUUCUCUGAUGUUAGCGGCGGACGGGUGAGUAACACGUGGAUAACCUACCUAUAAGACUGGGAUAACUUCGGGAAACCGGAGCUAAUACCGGAUAAUAUUUUGAACCGCAUGGUUCAAAAGUGAAAGACGGUCUUGCUGUCACUUAUAGAUGGAUCCGCGCUGCAUUAGCUAGUUGGUAAGGUAACGGCUUACCAAGGCAACGAUGCAUAGCCGACCUGAGAGGGUGAUCGGCCACACUGGAACUGAGACACGGUCCAGACUCCUACGGGAGGCAGCAGUAGGGAAUCUUCCGCAAUGGGCGAAAGCCUGACGGAGCAACGCCGCGUGAGUGAUGAAGGUCUUCGGAUCGUAAAACUCUGUUAUUAGGGAAGAACAUAUGUGUAAGUAACUGUGCACAUCUUGACGGUACCUAAUCAGAAAGCCA
RNAcentral lists this ribosomal RNA (510 nucleotides) under Staphylococcus aureus. RNAcentral describes it as "bacterial SSU rRNA". It matches the Rfam family "Bacterial small subunit ribosomal RNA", at positions 1 to 493 of the family's 1533-position model. The record is from RNAcentral. Lineage: Bacteria; Bacillati; Bacillota; Bacilli; Caryophanales; Staphylococcaceae.